UAGUCCACGCUGUAAACGAUGGGUACUAGCUGUUGGGGGAGUCUGUCCCUUAGUGGCGCAGUUAACGCAUUAAGUACCCCGCCUGGGGAGUACGGUCGCAAGAUUAAAACUCAAAGGAAUUGACGGGGCCCGCACAAGCGGUGGAGCAUGUGGUUUAAUUCGAUGCAACGCGAAAAACCUUACCUACCCUUGACAUCCUCGGAACUUGUCAGAGAUGACUUGGUGCCUUCGGGAACCGGGUGACAGGUGCUGCAUGGCUGUCGUCAGCUCGUGUCGUGAGAUGUUGGGUUAAGUCCCGUAACGAGCGCAACCCUUGUCCUUAGUUGCCAGCAUUUAGUUGGGCACUCUAAGGAGACUGCCGGUGACAAACCGGAGGAAGGUGGGGAUGACGUCAAGUCAUCAUGGGCCCUUACGGGGUAGGGGCUACGACACGUGCUACAAUGGGGCAGUACAGAGGGGUCGCCAAGCCGCAA
This 473-nucleotide ribosomal RNA is filed under the name uncultured bacterium. RNAcentral's name for it is "bacterial SSU rRNA". It matches the Rfam family "Bacterial small subunit ribosomal RNA", at positions 791 to 1260 of the family's 1533-position model. The record is from RNAcentral.